Bos taurus (domestic cattle) is the source of this 2045-nucleotide long non-coding RNA. The record is from Ensembl. NCBI's taxonomy places the organism in Eukaryota, Metazoa, Chordata, Mammalia, Artiodactyla, Bovidae.
GUGUGCUCCUUUGGGAGGUCACCUGUCAGGACUGGAACGUGGGGUACAAGGAGAGUGGUAGGGGAGAUUCAACUAGGUAACCUUAGAGUCCCUCCCAACUCUUAAUUCUAGGAUUCUUGGGAAAAAAUAAAUGCCAGUGGUGGACCUUCUUGUUCUGAAUAUGUUGAUCAAGUGGGUUCAACAGAGCUCUUAUAUCAAGCCCAGUUCCCCUUGCUAACACCCAAAGAGAGAAGUCUUGGUUGCUGAGGGUGGGAAGCAUAAGUCAAUAUGAAUCUCUGGCUUUUUCCAGGGACAAAGGCAGGUGAAGGAAAUGGAGCCAGUUUCCAAGUGUAUUAUUCAACUUAAUCAUCACAGUAACCCACUGGAUAGAUAGGAUUACCCUGUGUUCCAGAAGAGGACAUGAGGCCGCAGAGACAUCAAAACUCUUGCAUAUAGUUGCACAGCCAGCAAGUGGAGACCCCACGACACAGUCCUGGUCGGGGCCGUGACCUCCCACCCUACCUGCCUGCCUGGGUUGAGUGCUUAUCUCUUUGAAGACAUACGUGAGGAAGGCAUGAGCUUGCACAGCUUCAUACCCGAGUCCCUGCGCCUUUCUCUUUACACAUGAUGAUGUCUCCUCCCGUGUCUGUGUCCCCAUAGAGAGGGCAUUCUGAGCAGUGCUGAACCGACUUCCGGAGUGGAGCUUGCCUGGGGAGGGGGGACCGGGGAUUGUGAGUUUCAGGGCAGGUGUGGGAGCCAACCACGUGUGCUGUGGGAGGCUCGCUUUGUGAGGGAGGCCACUCCUCUUUGUUUCAGCCUCCCUGAGUGAAGUGAGGCUUCCUGGGGCCUGGGGAGUAUUAAUGACUCAUUGUUGGCGUCUUGGAGCCGGGUGAAGCGUUCUCUCGGUGUUCCCGUUGCAGGGUUAGACAUCAGCAACUCGUAGCGAGGUGUUUGGCUCCGGCUCACAAGUUGGAUCAUUUCUUUGAUCCCAGUUUUUCUCCGUGACUUGGCUCAGUUUCACAACUGGGUGGGAAAUGUCUCUGCCUCACUUUCUAGUUGUUGCUUUUCUUCUUUUUCCUCUUGGGUACGGCCAACGGCGGAGAGCUUUGAGAAAGGAGACACGGUCAGAGCAUGGAUUUCAGAUUGACGGUAACAGGGAGUCAUUGAAGAGCUGUAAGGAAAGGAGUUGUGUGAUCUGCCUCAACUUAUGGAAAGACCGCUUUGCUUCCUGUAUAGAGUGGGUUGGAGAGGACCAGGACUGGCUGUCGGGAGACCAGAGUCUAUUUCCGUAAUUCUGUGUGCCCAGAGGAGAGUGACCAGGUACGAAGGAGCUCGGUGUUGUUCCAGAGGCAGAGAGAAAAGACCCGGAGAGGCUUAAAGAGGAAGCCAGUGCUCGAGGACUCCAUCUGCUCUUCUGUGUCUUUCUUGCCAGCGGACAGUCAUCAGCCUCCAAGUGGAACACAUUGGUUCAUUCUCCCGUGGUCUCCUUACUGUCCCUUCUUUUCUUCCUCCAUCUUCUCUUCCUCUCCUACAUACUGUAGGAAGGAGCUAAAGGAAAUACAAACCUGAUCAAAUCUACUCCUUGCAUAAAACAUUCUCUCCUCUGUAAAACCUCUUUAGUAUACCAAAGAUAGUGGCUAAGAUCCUGGACUCUGUGAGUCAGACUGCCUGGGUUUGAAUCCCAUUGACUGGCUGAGUUAUCUUGGGCACAUUAUGUAAACUUUCUGUUUCUCAAUUCCCUCACCUAUAAAAUCAGAGAAGAAUAAUAAUACUGGGGCUUCCCAGGUAGUACCAGUGGUAAAGAACUUAAGAGACAUGGGUUCAAUUCCUGGGUCAAAAUAGGUAGGUGUAAUAAUAUACCUACUUCAUAGUGUUGUUAUAAGAAUUAAGUGAGUUAAUAUUUUUGAAGUGCUUAAAAAGUGCUUAGCACAUAGUAAGUAAGAGUUUGUUAAAUAAAAUAAACAUAAUUGCUUAGCUUGUCAUGGGGGCCUUUCAAAACCUGGCCCCUGUUGACCUCUCCAAGCUCAGGUUCUCAGUCCUUUGGUUCCUGGCAUUGCGCCUCCAGC